UACGUAGGGCGCGAGCGUUAAUCGGAAUUACUGGGCGUAAAGCGUGCGCAGGCGGCGCGUUAAGACAGGUGUGAAAGCCCCGAGCUUAACUUGGGAAUUGCGCUUGUGACUGGCGUGCUGGAGUGUGGCAGAGGGAGGUGGAAUUCCACGUGUAGCAGUGAAAUGCGUAGAGAUGUGGAGGAACACCGAUGGCGAAGGCAGCCCCCUGGGUUAACACUGACGCUCAUGCACGAAAGCGUGGGGAGCAAACAGG
Molecule: ribosomal RNA, 253 nt
Filed under: uncultured bacterium
Lineage: Bacteria
Description: partial 16S ribosomal RNA
Rfam family: Bacterial small subunit ribosomal RNA
Source: RNAcentral